CCCUUCCCUUCCCUAGAGGCCGGGAUUACGUAACGGCGCCGGAGCGAGCAGCUGCAGGAUUACACCAUGCGGAUUAGGGAUUACGUUGAUUCAGCAGAUUGUCCCGUGCAUGUCUGAGAAAGAUUACACCAGCAGAGUUAAGAAUACCCGUUUGCUCUGAGCAAAGUGUAGCUGUGAGCCAGCUCCAGAGGACGCCUUUGGGUGGGGACCUUGCUGUUACAGCCCAAUAUCACAGGGAAGUACCAUUUCAGAUUUUCUUGUAUGGACAGGACACUUAAAAAGCUAGAGAAGCCACCUGAGGUCCCAUGAAAACCAGAACCAUCUACUUAUAAAGUGCUGUUGCCUCUGACCAAAACCAAGAAUUGUUGUUGGAAUAAUAUGCGAACAGAUCAUGAAGAACUCUGUGGCACCAGUUAUGGAUCUUUUUGUCUAAAUGGAGGGAUUUGUUAUAUGAUUCCUACUGUAUCCAGUCCAUUCUGCAGGUGUAUCGAGAAUUACACAGGAGCUCGUUGUGAGGAAGUUUUGCUGCCCAGCAUCAAAUCCCAAACAAAAGGUGACCUGUUUGCAGCUUUCUUGGCUUCCCUUCUUCUUCUAGGAGUUCUUGUAAUUGGAGCAUUCUACUUCCUUUGCAGAAAAGUUUCCAUCCCAAGGACAAGCUCUUCAGAGUGUGGUGCCAACCUAGUUGAAACUACAAGCAGCAAUGGCUGCAACAAAAUAACAACAGCCUAAAGCGUUAGAGUGGAAGAAUGGUGGGGAAACAACACGCAGAGCGACCCUAAGAAUCCAAGUUGCAGAGGGUGACAUGGAUUUCCCCAGAGGAGCUGAAGCCUGUUUUGAUUCAAUAGUUUCAAAACUGUAUUUGUGAUACAUGUCCAGAAUUUGGCUUGUUUCAGAUAACCUUACCAGAUGUAGGGGGAAAACCCCUGCCUUUCUCCCAGCUAAUACUUAUGUUUGCUUUUUUAAAAAUUGUCACACAACAUCAGCACAAGGUACCACUGGUGGUUUAUUGCCCAGCUUCCCGGCACAUGAUUUUAAUUCAAAUUAAAGGGAAAUAUUAAGAAGAGAGAUUGAUAAUGGUUAAAAAAGUUUUUUAGGCAGAGUUUAGUACUCCUAAUACCAAGCAAGACAUCUCCCUUGAUGGUUUUUAAUUUUGUCUGGCUUUCUUCUGAAAAUCUCACUACUGAGGGAAAUUCAAACCUUACCUUGAAUGUUCAGUAGAUAUUUCAGACAGCAGAAAUCAGGAAUUUUGUUCAUUUUUGACACAAAAUAUCCAGACAGGUGUCUUGGCUGAAAAAAUGCUGCCCUCUCCAAAGAUUUAUUUCUUUUAUUCACAUAAGCAUCUGUUGAUCACGCUAAUAUAUUCCACACUUUGGUCCCUUACAGGAUUCCCUUACCCAGACAAAGAGAGGCCACCUGCCAUGGUCCAUGUCUUUUUUGUCUUCACAACACAGAGAGAAUGUCUGAUUAGUCAGAGGCAUAGAAAACACGAACUGAACAAUUUUCUUUUCAAUAACUGGAGGCUGAAACCAGCAAAAAAUCAGAUAUGUUUUCAUAAUGGCACAUUACCAAGCAGGUCAUUAUAUGGGAUUUUUAAGGUUGUUUUGAAGGGAAGAUUAGCUGAGAAAAUUCAUGAAUUGAAAGGAGAGAAAAUUCAGAACAGAGCUUUCUCCAAAAGAAACAAUCUGAAGUUGUAUAAAAACAUAGGCACAGAGAAAAUGUUGAAUAAGCUCCUAUUUCUAUGAUGUCUACUACAUGCUCUAGUGUCAGAAAAAGCAGUGUGUACUUUGUGUCAAGGUAGACAAAGGCACAGUGGGACAGGGGAGAAAAGGCUUGUGGGUACAGUGCAUAGGGUGAGAAGACAAAGAGAAAUCACGUUACAAUGGUUACUAGAACACAAAACAGAAUAAUUCAUUACCUUCUGAAAACUCCUGUCAGAGAGGUCAGAGCCCAAGUUAGCGCUCAGCAUGUGAAAGGAGAAUCUUGGGACACCAAACCAGGUAGAGAACCUGAUCCAGAGACAAAGUUAUAUAAAGCACUACAAGAUAAGUUUCUCCCAAAAUUAAUCAGUCUUACAUUUCAUUUUCUGUACCUCAAAUCUUUAGCAGAUAAGCUGAAGGAAGCUGAUAAUAUUGUUUUAAAGACUAGGAAGGAUAAAAGUUAUUUUUCAUCACACAGGGACAGGCGGUGUUGUACAGAGUUCAGGAGAUAUGUAGCAGUAUUGACAGCUACAUCAGAAUUGGUGUUACCUGAAGUACUUUGCACAGCCUCAGUGAAAAUUAAUCAGAGAUGACAGCUAGUAGAUCACUUUGCUGUGUUAUUGAUCAUGAGCAUGUCAGGCUUACAGUUUGGUAAACUCUCCUCUGAAGAAUCUUAAGUGCAAAUUCAGGAAGGAGAUACAAAUAGAAGAUGGAAGAAAUAAAUGGACUGAAUUUGUUCUGUAUAAGCUCUUAGAAUCCUCUCAGCUUUCUAGACAGACAUGGAAUAAUUAUUCAUUGUUACUGAGCAUUAUUUGGGAAACAAGCUGUACAAAAAGUGGGGCUGAAUAAACUGACCUCAUGUUUAAAUGUGAACAGGCUGAUUUAUGAAACACUGUUACGUGUGAAGGAAAUGCUAUUAGCAAUUCAGAUCGCCUCAAACCCAUUGCAUCUGAGAACAUUUCAGCUUCUAAAAUGAUUUCAUUUCACAGACUUUGUGGCUAUGAUGUUCAAAUCAAAAUGACAUCAGACUACAAAUUCAUUUUAAGGUGGUCAAAUGCCACAGAAAAUACAGGGUAGCCAACAUGAUAUAUAAUUUAA
Hirundo rustica (Barn swallow) is the source of this 2795-nucleotide RNA transcript. It is a transcript of the gene named neuregulin 4, with no coding region annotated. The transcript is spliced from 8 exons. NCBI's taxonomy places the organism in Eukaryota, Metazoa, Chordata, Aves, Passeriformes, Hirundinidae. The record is from RefSeq and is a predicted model, not a curated record.